GAUAGUAAUUUUAUUUGCGUAUAAAUUUUGAAGCAUUAUGUAUAGUAGAGAGAAGCCAUUUUAAAGGGCCUACAGUUGCAACUUUUUCAAAAUUUUAAGACGCUGGUGGGGCAAAUUAGGGUUUUCACCCAUUGAGUGAAUGCGUUCGUCUCUUCACCUUCAUCACCCUUGUCUGGACUUUGAUAUUCCAGCCAAUUUUCAGAUCUCAUGAAUUUCCACAGCUUACCAGAAGAGAGCUUCAAAUAUCUCUGGAAACUGAACAAGAUCCCUGCUAAUAUCACCAAUGUCGCCGUGGCCGAUGCCCUCCAAUCUCUUCAUACCGUAAGCUGUUAUGUUUUUGUUUUCAUUUGAUUUGUUGAUUUGUAUUCUUCAUCGCAGCUGAUUGGUAAUUGAUUGGUUGAUUUUUUUUAUUGUAACUGGUUGGCAUUCUUUUCGAUCAACAAACCCCAAAUCUUCAUUCAUUAUUCAUGGUUCUGCAAAUCAAACUUGGAUUUCAUGAAGGUGAUCGAUCAGACCGUGCGUGAAAUAAAGAGAGAGGUGAAUUUGAAAGUAUUGAAGGUUCCUGAGAUCGAACAGAAGGUAAUAAUGUUAAGAAUAUGUGGUUUUAGGUUUAUAGAAAUGAAUGUGUACGUGUGUUGUAUGAGCAAUUGGGAGAUUUAGGGUUUGUAUUGAUGAUUGAUCCACUGGUGUGCUGGCAAUUGUAAAUUGGUUAAUUAGGUUAAUGUUGAUGUGAAUUUGAAC
Long non-coding RNA from Helianthus annuus (common sunflower), 741 nucleotides. RefSeq lists it as uncharacterized. The transcript is spliced from 3 exons. Lineage: Eukaryota; Viridiplantae; Streptophyta; Magnoliopsida; Asterales; Asteraceae. The record is from RefSeq and is a predicted model, not a curated record.